UGCCGGGGUAGUCUAGUCCGGAAAGGCGGUGGCCUUGAAAGCCACUGGUGCCCAGCACCUCAAGAGUUCAAAUCUCUUCCCCGGCGU
RNAcentral lists this transfer RNA (87 nucleotides) under Methanoregulaceae archaeon PtaB.Bin108. RNAcentral's name for it is "tRNA-Ser". It matches the Rfam family "tRNA". Rfam says of the family: Transfer RNA (tRNA) molecules are approximately 80 nucleotides in length. Their secondary structure includes four short double-helical elements and three loops (D, anti-codon, and T loops). Lineage: Archaea; Methanobacteriati; Methanobacteriota; Methanomicrobia; Methanomicrobiales; Methanoregulaceae. The record is from RNAcentral.